GACGAACGCCGGCGGCGUGCCUAAUACAUGCAAGUCGAGCGGACGAAUCGAAAGCUUGCUUUUGAUUCGUUAGCGGCGGACGGGUGAGUAACACGUGGGCAACCUGCCCUGUAGACGGGGAUAACACCGAGAAAUCGGUGCUAAUACCGGAUAACACGAAAUGUCGCAUGACGUUUCGUUGAAAGACGGCGCAAGCUGCCGCUACAGGAUGGGCCCGCGGCGCAUUAGCUAGUUGGUGAGGUAACGGCUCACCAAGGCGACGAUACGUAGCCGACCUGAGAGGGUGAUCGGCCACACUGGGACUGAGACACGGCCCAGACUCCUACGGGAGGCAGCAGUAGGGAAUCUUCCGCAAUGGACGAAAGUCUGACGGAGCAACGCCGCGUGAGCGAAGAAGGCCUUCGGGUCGUAAAGCUCUGUUGUUAGGGAAGAACAAGUAACGCAGUAACUGGCGUUACCGUGACGGUACCUAACGAGAAAGCCACGGCUAACUACGUG
Molecule: ribosomal RNA, 498 nt
Filed under: uncultured bacterium
Lineage: Bacteria
Description: partial 16S ribosomal RNA
Rfam family: Bacterial small subunit ribosomal RNA
Source: RNAcentral